AGAGUAAAAUAGUACGUGAAAUUGUUGAAAGGGAAACGAUUGAAGUCAGUCGUACCGACGAGAAAUCAACUUAUCGUGUGCGAACUUGUGGGCGUGCGUGAGUUUCGGCCUCGCUGUUUGCAUGUUUGUGUACUUUGGGUGCACUUUUUCGUAUGGUAGGCCAACGUCAGUUUCGAUCACUAUAAAAUGACUGGCGGAAUGUAGCUUCGACUUCGGUUGAAGUGUUAUAGCCACUGGUAGAUGUGAUGAUUGGGACUGAGGAUUGCAACGAAUACCCUUUGGGCUAUCCGUCUGGCCUCUGAAAGUUGCUCAGGUGCCGAAAGCGUGCUUACGGUCAUCUAAGAUAACGUUCAACAGGUUAGAACGUGAUUACAUUCGUUAAGGACGUUGGCGUAAUGGCUUUAAACGACC
This 411-nucleotide ribosomal RNA is filed under the name uncultured fungus. Its description in RNAcentral is "eukaryotic LSU rRNA". The record is from RNAcentral. Lineage: Eukaryota; Fungi.